This 1235-nucleotide ribosomal RNA is filed under the name metagenome. RNAcentral describes it as "bacterial LSU rRNA". It matches the Rfam family "Bacterial large subunit ribosomal RNA", at positions 1564 to 2808 of the family's 2925-position model. The record is from RNAcentral.
UGAAUACGAGACGCUAAGGCGUCGAAGUAGUGUAUAUCAGACUUCCAAGAGAAGCUUGCAUUGUCAUAGAUAAAAAAUGCCUGUACCAUAACCGACACAGGUGGGUAGGUAGAGUAUACUAAGGGGCGCGAGAUAACUCUCUCUAAGGAACUCGGCAAAAUAACUCCCUAACUUCGGGAGGAGGAGUGCCUUAUUUAUAAGGUUGCAAUAACAAGAUCCAAGCAACUGUUUAUCAAAAACACAGGUCUCCGCUAAGUCGUAAGACGAUGUAUGGGGGCUGACGCCUGCCCAGUGCCAGAAGGUUAAAGAAGUUGGUUAGCAAUUGCGAAGCUGAUAACUGAAGCCCUGGUGAACGGCGGCCGUAACCAUAACGGUCCUAAGGUAGCGAAAUUCCUUGUCGGGUAAGUUCCGACCCGCACGAAAGGCGUAAUGAUUUGGAUACUGUCUCGGAGAGGGGCUCGGUGAAAUAGACUUGUCUGUGAAGAUGCGGACUACCUGCACCAGGACAGAAAGACCCUAUGAAGCUUUACUGUAACUUGAAAUUGAAAUUGGACUUUAUUCGCGCAGCAUAGGUGGGAGGCGUUGAUUAUAAUCUUGCGGGAUUAUUGGAGCCAUCAGUGAGAUACCACUCUUGUAAUGUUAGAUUUCUAACUUUGAAUCAUUAUCUGGUCAGAGAACAGUUUCAGGCGGGCAGUUUGACUGGGGCGGUCGCCCCCUAAAUGGUAACGGAGGCGUACAAAGGUUUCCUCUGAACGGUUAGAAAUCGUAUCUAGAGUGUAAAGGCAUAAGGAAGCUUGACUGUGAGACCUACAAGUCGAGCAGGGACGAAAGUCGGUCUUAGUGAUCUGACGGUACUGAGUGGAAAGGCCGUCACUCAACGGAUAAAAGUUACUCUAAGGAUAACAGGCUGAUCUCCCCCAAGAGUUCACAUCGACGGGGAGGUUUGGCACCUCGAUGUCGGCUCAUCGCAUCCUGGGGCGGUAGUACGUCCCAAGGGUUGGGCUGUUCGCCCAUGAAAGCGGUACGCGAGCUGGGUUCAGAACGUCGUGAGACAGUUCGGUCCAUAUCCGGUGUAGGCGUUAGAAUAUUGAGAGGAGCCUUCUUUAGUACGAGAGGACCGAGAAGGACAUACCUCUGGUGUACCAGUUAUCGUGCCAACGGUAAACGCUGGGUAGCUAUGUAUGGAGUGGGUAACCGCUGAAAGCACCUAAGUGGGAAGCCCACCUCAAGAUAAG